UUCCUACGGGGGGCAGCAGUGGGGAAUAUUGGGCAAUGGGCGAAAGCCUGACCCAGCAAUGCCGCGUGAAUGAAGAAGGUCUUAGGAUUGUAAAAUUCUGUCCUAUGGGAAGAAACAAAUGACGGUACCAUAGGAGGAAGCCCCGGCUAACUACGUGCCAGCAGCCGCGGUAAUACGUAGGGGGCGAGCGUUGUCCGGAAUUACUGGGCGUAAAGAGAGCGUAGGCGGCACUACAAGUCUCAUGUGAAAGCCUUGGGCUUAACCCGAGGAUUGCAUUUGGAACUAUCAAGCUAGAGUACAGGAGG
RNAcentral lists this ribosomal RNA (305 nucleotides) under uncultured bacterium. RNAcentral describes it as "bacterial SSU rRNA". It matches the Rfam family "Bacterial small subunit ribosomal RNA", at positions 336 to 655 of the family's 1533-position model. The record is from RNAcentral.